UGUGUUUGUUGUAAGGGCGCACGGUGGAUGCCUGGGCAUGUCAAGCCGAUGAAGGACGUGAAGGGCUGCGUUAAGCCUCGGGGAGUUGCCGAUUAAGCGUUGAUCCGAGGAUGUCCGAAUGGGGAAACCCGGCCGUGGUUAUGUGCGGUCACCUGCUGCUGAAUGAAAUAGGUGGUAUGGGGGUUACGCGGGGAAGUGAAACAUCUCAGUACCCGUAGGAGAAGAAAACAAUAUGUGAUUCCGUUAGUAGUGGCGAGCGAAGGCGGAGAUGAUGGCUAAACUCUAUGCGUGGAUGAUACUUGGUAGGGGUUGCGUGUAGGGGGUUGUGGGAUGCGUGUGUCUGGCUGGCUACCACUGGCUGGCACCCUUGGAUUGUGUGUUAGGGGAAGUGGUGUGGAAUCGCCUGCCGUAGACGGUGACAGUCCGGUACCUGAAGACAUGUGGUUGGGGUGUGUGCGUAUUUUCCCGAGUAGCAGCGGGCUCGUGGAAUCUGCUGUGAAUCUGCCGGGACCACCCGGUAAGCCUGAAUACUUGGCGUGACCGAUAGUGCAAUAUAGUACCGUGAGGGAAGGGUGAAAAGUACCCCGGGAGGGGAGUGAAAUAGUUCCUGAAACCGUGUGCUUACAAUCCGUCAUAGCCCC
Molecule: non-coding RNA, 641 nt
Filed under: Corynebacterium durum F0235
Lineage: Bacteria; Bacillati; Actinomycetota; Actinomycetes; Mycobacteriales; Corynebacteriaceae
Description: Bacterial large subunit ribosomal RNA
Rfam family: Bacterial large subunit ribosomal RNA
Source: Rfam by way of RNAcentral